GGGUGAGUAACGCGUGGAUAACCUGCCGUAUACUGGGGGAUAACACUUAGAAAUAGGUGCUAAUACCGCAUAAGCGCACAGUCUCGCAUGAGACGGUGUGAAAAACUCCGGUGGUAUACGAUGGAUCCGCGUCUGAUUAGCUUGUUGGCGGGGUAACAGCCCACCAAGGCGACGAUCAGUAGCCGGCCUGAGAGGGUGAACGGCCACAUUGGGACUGAGACACGGCCCAAACUCCUACGGAAGGCAGCAG
Molecule: ribosomal RNA, 250 nt
Filed under: uncultured bacterium
Lineage: Bacteria
Description: partial 16S ribosomal RNA
Rfam family: Bacterial small subunit ribosomal RNA
Source: RNAcentral